RNAcentral lists this long non-coding RNA (355 nucleotides) under Bos taurus (domestic cattle). RNAcentral describes it as "long non-coding RNA NONBTAT013646". The record is from RNAcentral. Lineage: Eukaryota; Metazoa; Chordata; Mammalia; Artiodactyla; Bovidae.
CUUUUGGAAUAAAUUAAUUAUCAUGCCAAAGAAAUGAGGGAUCCAUCAAAGAACCAAAAGGUCAGAAAGAUACUAUCCAUGGUCAGAGACAAAGUAUAGAGUCAGAAGGUCUGAGUAAAGCAUCAGCGUCAUAGUUUGGACUGGAGCUCUUAAAAGCUAGGCCCAAGGCACUGGCUCUGAACCAGAGAUAACAAGAGAGCAGGCAGGGAGAUGUGUUCCCCAGGAGUAUUUCCUGAAGGACUAGGACUACACACCAGACCUUCUGAUUUUUCAGUGAUAGCAGAUAACACCCCAGAAUCUGAACAAAAAGCAAGACCAGCCCAGGAUCAGAAAUAUUAGGCAGGGAGGUAAUCAU